GCAUUAGAAGAAAAUUUAAGGCCUGACCCUAUGGGCCUCUCAAAGUGUCCCAUGCCAGAGUGAACUGUAACCCUGAACCAUGGCCUGGCUUUGUCCCAUGGGUGUCGGGCACUGAAGCAGGUUUCACAGUG
Molecule: small nucleolar RNA, 131 nt
Organism: Echinops telfairi (small Madagascar hedgehog)
Lineage: Eukaryota; Metazoa; Chordata; Mammalia; Afrosoricida; Tenrecidae
Product: small nucleolar RNA SNORA42/SNORA80 family
Exons: 1
Source: RefSeq, a predicted model, not a curated record